AGAGUUUGAUCCUGGCUCAGGAUGAACGCUAGCGGCAGGCUUAACACAUGCAAGUCGAGGGGCAGCGGGGAGGAAGCUUGCUUUCUCCGCCGGCGACCGGCGCACGGGUGAGUAACACGUAUGCAACCUGCCCCUGUCAGGGGGACAACCCGCCGAAAGGCGGGCUAAACCCGCGUACAUGCCACCGGGGCAUCCCGGAGGCAGGAAAGGCUUCGGCCGGACAGGGAUGGGCAUGCGGCGCAUUAGGCAGUAGGCGGGGUAACGGCCCACCUAACCGACGAUGCGUAGGGGUUCUGAGAGGAAGGUCCCCCACACUGGUACUGAGACACGGACCAGACUCCUACGGGAGGCAGCAGUGAGGAAUAUUGGUCAAUGGUCGGGAGACUGAACCAGCCAAGCCGCGUGAGGGAGGAAGGUACAGAGUAUCGUAAACCUCUUUUGUCAGGGAACAAAGGCGGGGACGUGUCCCCGGAUGAGUGUACCUGAAGAAAAAGCAUCGGCUAACCCCGUGCCAGCAGCCGCGGUAAUACGGAGGAUGCGAGCGUUAUCCGGAUUUAUUGGGUUUAAAGGGUGCGCAGGCGGUCUGUUAAGUCAGCGGUCAAAGCCCGGGGCUCAACCCCGGCCCGCCGUUGAAACUGGCAGUCUCGAGUUGGAGAGAAGUAUGCGGAAUGCGCGGUGUAGCGGUGAAAUGCAUAGAUAUCGCGCAGAACUCCGAUUGCGAAGGCAGCAUGCCGGCUCCACACUGACGCUGAGGCACGAAAGCGUGGGUAUCGAACAGGAUUAGAUACCCUGGUAGUCCACGCAGUAAACGAUGAAUGCUGGCUGUCCGGGGGGAUUGACCCCUGGGUGGCGAAGCGAAAGCGAUAAGCAUUCCACCUGGGGAGUACGCCGGCAACGGUGAAACUCAAAGGAAUUGACGGGGGCCCGCACAAGCGGAGGAACAUGUGGUUUAAUUCGAUGAUACGCGAGGAACCUUACCCGGGCUCAAACGGGGAGUGGCGCAGGCAGAGACGCCUGUUUCCCACGGGACACUCCCCGAGGUGCUGCAUGGUUGUCGUCAGCUCGUGCCGUGAGGUGUCGGCUUAAGUGCCAUAACGAGCGCAACCCCCGCGUGCAGUUGCUAACAGUCAACGCUGAGGACUCUGCACGGACUGCCGGCGCAAGCCGCGAGGAAGGCGGGGAUGACGUCAAAUCAGCACGGCCCUUACGUCCGGGGCGACACACGUGUUACAAUGGGUGGUACAGCGGGAAGCCAGGCGGCGACGCCGAGCGGAACCCGAAAUCCACUCUCAGUUCGGAUCGGAGUCUGCAACCCGACUCCGUGAAGCUGGAUUCGCUAGUAAUCGCGCAUCAGCCAUGGCGCGGUGAAUACGUUCCCGGGCCUUGCACACAACGCCCGUCA
RNAcentral lists this ribosomal RNA (1402 nucleotides) under uncultured bacterium. Its description in RNAcentral is "16S ribosomal RNA". It matches the Rfam family "Bacterial small subunit ribosomal RNA". The record is from RNAcentral.